This 301-nucleotide ribosomal RNA is filed under the name uncultured bacterium. RNAcentral describes it as "partial 16S ribosomal RNA". It matches the Rfam family "Bacterial small subunit ribosomal RNA", at positions 509 to 807 of the family's 1533-position model. The record is from RNAcentral.
CAGCAGCCGCGGGAAAACAGAGGGUGCGAGCGUUAAUCGGAUUUACUGGGCGUAAAGCGUGCGUAGGCGGCUUCUCAAGUCGGAUGUGAAAUCCCUGAGCUUAACUUAGGAAUUGCAUUCGAUACUGGGAAGCUAGAGUAUGGGAGAGGAUGGUAGAAUUCCAGGUGUAGCGGUGAAAUGCGUAGAGAUCUGGAGGAAUACCGAUGGCGAAGGCAGCCAUCUGGCCUAAUACUGACGCUGAGGUACGAAAGCAUGGGGAGCAAACAGGAUUAGAUACCCCUGUAGUCCCUGUCUCUUAUAC